UACAGAGGUCCCGAGCGUUGUUCGGAUUCACUGGGCGUAAAGGGUGCGUAGGUGGUGAGGUAAGUCGGAUGUGAAAGCUCGGAGCUCAACUCCGAAAUGGCAUUGGAAACUACCUUGCUCGAGGGUUGGAGGGGGGACUGGAAUACUUGGUGUAGCAGUGAAAUGCGUAGAUAUCAAGAGGAACACCUGCGGCGAAGGCGGGUUGCUGGGCCGACACUGACGCUGAUGCGCGAAAGCUAGGGGAGCGAACGGG
RNAcentral lists this ribosomal RNA (253 nucleotides) under uncultured prokaryote. RNAcentral describes it as "partial 16S ribosomal RNA". It matches the Rfam family "Bacterial small subunit ribosomal RNA", at positions 524 to 776 of the family's 1533-position model. The record is from RNAcentral.